GGAUCCCAUCAGAACUCCGAAGUUAAGCGUGCUUGGGCGAGAGUAGUACUAGGAUAGGUGACCUCCUGGGAAGUCCUCGUGUUGCAUUCCU
This 91-nucleotide ribosomal RNA is filed under the name Hordeum bulbosum. Lineage: Eukaryota; Viridiplantae; Streptophyta; Magnoliopsida; Poales; Poaceae. The record is from RNAcentral.